GCGCAACCCUUAUCCUUUGUUGCCAGCGAUUAGGUCGGGAACUCAAAGGAGACUGCCAGUGAUAAACUGGAGGAAGGUGGGGAUGACGUCAAGUCAUCAUGGCCCUUACGACCAGGGCUACACACGUGCUACAAUGGCGCAUACAAAGAGAAGCGACCUCGCGAGAGCAAGCGGACCUCAUAAAGUGCGUCGUAGUCCGGAUUGGAGUCUGCAACUCGACUCCAUGAAGUCGGAAUCGCUAGUAAUCGUGGAUCAGAAUGCCACGGUGAAUACGUUCCCGGGCCUUGUACACACCGCCCGUCACACCAUGGGAGUGGGUUGCAAAAGAAGUAGGUAGCUUAACCUUCGGGAGGGCGCUUACCACUUUGUGAUUCAUGACUGGGGUGAAGUCGUAACAAGGUAACCGUAGGGGAACCUGCGGUUGGAUCACCUCCUUACCUUAAAGAAGC
This 449-nucleotide ribosomal RNA is filed under the name Salmonella enterica subsp. enterica serovar Virchow. RNAcentral describes it as "partial 16S ribosomal RNA". It matches the Rfam family "Bacterial small subunit ribosomal RNA", at positions 1096 to 1533 of the family's 1533-position model. The record is from RNAcentral. RNAcentral also lists the same sequence under 2 other names. Lineage: Bacteria; Pseudomonadati; Pseudomonadota; Gammaproteobacteria; Enterobacterales; Enterobacteriaceae.